Molecule: non-coding RNA, 5475 nt
Organism: Delphinapterus leucas (beluga whale)
Lineage: Eukaryota; Metazoa; Chordata; Mammalia; Artiodactyla; Monodontidae
Source: RefSeq, a predicted model, not a curated record
GUGCCACCAGGGAAGCCCACUACUGCAUUUUUUUAUUAAUGUUUGUAGUUUAUAUUUUUCCAUAAUUUUAUUUUUAACAUUUACAUCAUUAUAUUUGAAGUAAGUUUCUUGUGACAGCAUGUAGUUGGGGUCAUACUUUUUUUUUUUAAUCCAUUAUGCCACUUUUAAUUCGUAGGUUUAGAUCAUUUAAAAUAAUUAUUGAUAUGUUAGAGCUUAACUGUACCAUUUUAUUAAUCUUUUUUGUGUGUGUGUUCCCUUUGUAUUAUUCCUCUUGUUUUCCAGUUUUUAUUAUUUGGGUUCCCCCACCCCAUUUCCUGUGGGUUAUUUUAAUAUUUUUUAGAAUUCCAUUUGAUACGUCUGUAAUGUUUUUGAGUAUAUAUCUUAAUUUUCUUUACGUAUUGUAUUAUGUAUACAUAACUUAUCACAGACUGUUACCAGCAUUUUAGCACUUUGAUGUAUAGAAACCUUGAUUCCAUUAGGUUCACCUACAUUCCCUAUUCUUAAUAUAAUUGUUGUAUUUUCUCGUUGUAUACUGAGAACUAUAUUGGAUAUUGUAAUUUUUGCCUCAACUAAGUUUUUUUUUUUUUCCCCCCACAAAAUUCAUGAGAAGCAUAGUCUGUUUACCUCUACUUUUACCAUUCCAUUGUUGUUUCUCCAUUCUUGAAGUCCCAAGUCUUCUGUUAACAUUUCCAUUCUGUUCGGCAAAUUUCCUGUGGCCUUUUUUCUAGGGUAUGUCUGCUGUUAACAAAUGUUUUUUCUUUCUUCAUCUAAAAAUGUCUUUAUGUUCACUUCAUUCCUGAAGGAUAUUUUUGUGCGACAUAAGACUUGGGGUCCACAGUUCUUUUAGGACAAAAGAAAACAUGUCUGUUUUUUCUUCUGUCAAACUCCUUUUGUCCAGCAUGGUUUCAGAUGAGAAACCUGCCUUUCAACUCAUUGUUCCUCUAUUUGAAAGGCAUCCUUUCCGUCAGGUGCUUUCAAAGUGUUUUUUAUUAUAAUAUUCAGUUUAUGAUGUGUCCUGGCAUAGCAUUUUUAGGGUUUAUCCUGUUUGGUGUUUUCUCAGCUUUUUGAAUCAUGUGGUGUAUGCUCUUUGCCAAAUUUGGGAGAUUUUUUGUUAUUUUUCAAGUAUGUUUUCAACCCCACGCUUUUUCUCCUCUCAGGGACUCCAGUAACGUGAAUGAUAAUUCUCACAUUCUUGUUCCAUAGGACCCUCAGGCUCCCAUCUUUUUGUUUCCACCAGUCUGUUUUUCUCUGUUCCGCACAUUGAUUAACUUUCAUUGAUCUCCCUUUGAGCUCACUGGUUUCUUUCUGUCUCAUAUAUAAUCUACUAUUGAGCUCACCCAGUGAGUUUUCAUUUUGGUUUUUGAAUUUUCCAGUUGUUUGAUUUCCAUUUGGUUCUUUUAUACAUCUUCUGUAUUUUUGCCUAGCUUAUAAUGCCAAAGAAGGACUCUGAGAAAGCAGGCAAAACUGUAUAGUCCAAGGUCAAGGUUCUCUGGUGGUUUAUCUUGAUGUUGGGAUAGAACCCCUAGAUUAACUGGAGAAAUGAAAAGCCUGGUAUCCACAAGAAUUUCUGAGAACAGAUCUUACAACUGAGACCCGUAGAUUGUUCAGAGUUGUGUUUAAGGUGCCUGGAUUCUCCGUGAAUCCUACUGUCUUCUGCCUUGUUGCCGAAGCCAGACACACUUUGCAGCCAUUUUUUCAUCAUCACCCACAUCCAGCCACUGUCCCAUUCUGUUCUUUUUUUCCUAGUAGACACUCAGUAUAUGUGUGUUCUAGUGAAUGGCUACAUGCAGCAGGGAAUUUAUAUUAUAAUGUUUGGCUCCCUCACAGUGUUUACACAAAGCUGUGUAUAUAGUUGGCACCGUAUAGAACAUAUGUUGACCUUGAAGAAAAUCCACACAAGCUUUUAUGGCCAGAUCAUAGUCAUAAUGAAUGAUUGUUUUGGGUCAUCAAAGACCACCCUCAGUUGCAGUAAUUUGCUGAUUCACAGUACUCUGCGUAUUUUUACAGUCAACAGCUGUGCUUAUUACACCAAAAGGUGCAAAGCAAACUCAGCCAAGGGAAAAGGCACAAGGACUGAAGUCCAGAGGAAACCAGGGACAAUCUGCAGUGGUCCUGUCUCAGGGAAGUCACACAGGAUGGGCCUAAUUUAAGCUCCAUCAAGGAGUUAACAGCAAUAGAUUGAAAUGUCUACUGGGGGGAAGCUAAUUAGAGACCCAGUGCCCAGGGUUUCUUGGGGACACUCUAGCACAUACCAAAUUCUAGACCUCUAGAAGGAUAGAUAGAUCUUUGGCAUUAAGCCACACAGUUAAACAAAAAACCUGGGCACACUGAGCCACUCGUCGUUUGUGGGAAUGAUGGGAAAUCUCCCAAAAUCUGAGGUCCCAAACCCCAGCCCUUGCAAAGGUGAACCUUGCAAGCUCAAGAGAAUAGCAGUCUCAGGCCUGCUGUGUUACGUCUUCAUAGUGACUUAAAUGGUACUAAGAUGCUGAUUAAUUCAGACUUCUGUAACAAACAUUAAGCAAAUACAGUUUCCUACAACAAAAAGUGAGUCAUAACUCUGAGGUGAAAUUGUAAAAAAAAAAAAAAAAUCAGUAAGCCAAAGUAGAACUUAACAAGCUAGCCAGGAUUUAAUUUAGUGAUGACAAAGUACAGAGGCAGUCUGGUGACAAAGUUCCUUAUCUCUUCCCAAUAUUAAUAUAUGUAUGUAUAUGUACGUGUAUGUAUGUACACCACUUGAGGCCAUAUAUAUGUAUAUAAAUGUGUAUAGACCUAAUAUAUAUGUAUUUCUGUGUGUGUAUAUAUAUACAGAUACAUGGCUUCAAGUGGUCUGACUUGGAAAUACACCCACUGCUUGCUUACGCUUAUCUAUAAAGAUGUAAAUGCCAGAUCAAUGCUGUGUGUUCCUAUAGCACGCAAGUCAACAAUUUCUUGUCUCUUUGUUCCUGCUGUUGAUGCUGUUUGCCUCUGUCUUCAACAAAGAGAGAAAUAAGGAAUAUGUGCAUCAUUCAGUGCACCUGACAAGAUUUAAUUAAAGACUUCGUUUCAGGCUUAGUCGCCUUCAUGAUCUAUGUGUGAGUUUCCCUAGGAGAGAAUGGGAGCCGGUGGCUCCAGCGGGGAGGGCCCUUGCUGGAGACAUGGUGCUGGACCCCUACAGGAAUCUGGUCUCUGGGAGUAUGUGCCUCUCCCCUUUGUACUCACACUCUGGCCUGCAGAUGACCUUUCCUGUCUCAGUUGUGGGAUGGGGGGGUGGUGCGGCUCUGGAAUGCUCAAUGAUGUCAUCCUUGAGAGUUGAGGGUUAAAGAUUUGUAAUCUGCUCACAGGUAGGUUACACACCUCACAGGUAAAGGUCUAAAUGGUAGAUGGGCAACUUUGCCUCCCUCAGAGCAGUGUCAGUGCCAUGGGCCCUGUGGUGUGACUUCCUGUUGGUACUUCCUGACCUGGUUCUUACCUGCUGGAAGACUUUUUAGAAAAUUCCUGGCCACGCCUCCUUCCCUUUGUUUUGGAUAUCCAUGUGUUAAAGUAUGUGCUUUUAUUCUGAAGUUCUAACAUUUGGGACCUUGCUGAUCCUGUAGAGACUGCUCCUCCUAGAGCUAGCCGAUUCCUCCAGAUAAUUUUCCCCACUGGGUGUGCCUUUUAAAUGCAAACCAGCCAUUCCAGAGCCCAGACGCCACUACUACUGCCUUUACCAAGUUCUCAUGCUUCAAGACCCUUCCCUAGAUCCCAGGAAACUAAGGACAGCCCCUGCACUCUGAACUGUGCUGAAAUUAUCCCAGCUAGCUAACCCUAAACCUACUUAGCCUGCUUGCUUCCCCUGGCCCACUGCUCCCAGUGAAAAUGACAACACAGUCUUUGCCUACACUUCCGCCUCCAUCCUUUUGCCUCUGACUCCACACUAGUGCGUCCCCAUGUGACCCUGUGGAGCAUGGCGUGACCUCAUCUUACAGAACUGUAUUUCUUCAACGGCAAUCAUCUGUUGGCCUCAUAUCAGGAUACUAAAUCCUACAUUUUAAAACUGCCUGAAAGCGUUAAUGAGAGGAUAAAUACUAGGAAUAUAACAGAGCAAAUCAGGCAUUUCCAGAAACCAGGGUGUCAGUGCACCCAGCCAGAUGCAAUCUUUAAAUUGGAACGGUGUGGAGAGUCAUGGACAGAGGAAAGAACAAUGCCAAGGAGAGGCUGUCCAGGGAAACUUUCAUGGUUCUUUGCUGCCCAAGACCACCUUCAGGCUUGGUGGUUUACUAGGAGGAUUCACUAGACUCAGAAGAGGUGUGAUACUCAUGAUGACAGUUUAUUACAACAAAAAGACACAGACCAAGAUCACCAAAGGGAGAAGGCACGUGUAAUGAAGUCCGGGAGAAACCAAGCACCGCUUCCAGGUGAUCCCUCCCUGUGCAGCUCACAGGAACUCAAAUUUCAGCAAAGAUGUGUGACAACAUGUUCAGUUAUCGCCAACAAAGGAAGGUCACCCAAGCUUCAGAGUCCACAGAUUCCUUUACUGAGGCUCACAGCGCCUAAGUGACCUACCAUGGAUACUCAGGAUCCGCAGAAGGCAAAGAUGUAGUGCUGCCUCAGGCAAUACAAAGUCCACCCUUCAUCAUGAGUCACAUUGUUAGCAUAAAUUAUCUGGUCAUAAUGAUACAGUGGGACCUACAGGCGUAAGCAUAAAAAUCGCUCUCACUAGUCAAGAUAUUCCAAGGACUCAGAAGUGGUCUUCCUGGAGCUGGUCAAGGGCAAGUCCUUAUUUUUUUCUUUCUUUUUGCCACACUGCACGGCUUGUGGGAUCUUAGUUCCCCAGCCAGGGAUUGAACCCAGGCCCUCAGUAAUGAAAGUGCAGAGUCCUAACCACUGGACCACCAGGGAAGUCCCCCACAGGUACAUUUUAGAACACGUUCAGGUGCAUAUUAGAACCUCGUUACUAUGGCUGACAAAGUUCUACACAAUUUGCCUCCCUUUAUCUCUCCAACUUACCUCAUACCACUCUAGCCCCUGAAGAUGCAGCUCUAAGCCACGCUAGCCUUGCUUUUCUGCAAACACCCCAAUACACUCCGAACCCAGGAAUGUCUUUCUCAAAGACCUAGGAAUCCAUCUCUUUGAAAUGAAGACAUCAAAGGAGAUAGCAUCCCUACAUCCCAGCUUCUGUGGGAGGGUAGGAGCCUAACUUUGACAGGCACCUUGCUCCAAGUAGCAAAACUACCUCUGUCAUAAAGAAUUGAGAAGUUAGUUUUCCCUUCUAGAAAGCCAGUGUAACAGCAGAUAGUCACCCCAAUUACCAGGUAAAUUUAGGGUGAACUAUGUGUAACAAAUGGUGCUGUCAAUACUCGAGAACUAAUUAUUGUUUGAAAAUGUAUGUAAUGGGUUGUGUCUGUUUGGCUAUAUGAAAGGGUGAGUUUUAUUCUUUGCAAUCUCUUAGCAGCUGUGCUGUGCAUCACAUUCUGGUUUAAUGCUUAUACAAUAUUAAACUUUUAUUUCUCUACUAUC